This 301-nucleotide ribosomal RNA is filed under the name uncultured bacterium. RNAcentral's name for it is "partial 16S ribosomal RNA". It matches the Rfam family "Bacterial small subunit ribosomal RNA", at positions 509 to 807 of the family's 1533-position model. The record is from RNAcentral.
CAGUCGCCGCGGUAAUACGUAGGGUGCGAGCGUUAAUCGGAAUUACUGGGCGUAAAGCGUGCGCAGGCGGUUGUGUAAGACAGGUGUGAAAUCCCCGGGCUUAACCUGGGAACUGCGCUUGUGACUGGCGGGCUAGAGUAUGGCAGAGGGGGGUAGAAUUCCACGUGUAGCAGUGAAAUGCGUAGAGAUGUGGAGGAAUACCGAUGGCGAAGGCAGCCCCCUGGGCCGACACUGACACUGAGAGACGAAAGCUAGGGGAGCAAAUGGGAUUAGAUACCCCAGUAGUCCCUGUCUCUUAUAC